UUUUGCGGCGGCCUCUAGUUCGCUUGGUGCAGGUCGGGAACUCUAUUCUCCGACGGCGUCGUUAGUAACUUGGUGCGGCGACUGUGCUGUAUAUACCCCAAUCGUACUCGAUAUUGAAGUCGUCGGUUUCGUUGUUUGGCGAAAAUCAGGUUCCCGCCUUGCAUCAACUGAAUCGGAGACCGCGGCGAAU
Molecule: microRNA precursor, 190 nt
Filed under: Orobanche cernua var. cumana
Lineage: Eukaryota; Viridiplantae; Streptophyta; Magnoliopsida; Lamiales; Orobanchaceae
Description: miR168
Rfam family: MIR168 microRNA precursor family
Source: RNAcentral